This 263-nucleotide unclassified non-coding RNA is filed under the name plant metagenome. Its description in RNAcentral is "partial contains small subunit ribosomal RNA, internal transcribed spacer 1, and 5.8S ribosomal RNA". The record is from RNAcentral.
UUUCCGUAGGUGAACCUGCGGAAGGAUCAUUAUUGUAUAACCGAGGUGCGAGGGCUGUCGCUCACCCGAAAGGUCGUGCACGCCCGAGUGCCCUCACACACAUCCAUCUCACCCCUAUGUGCACCACCGCGUGGGUCCCCCUUUGGCUUGUUCGGAGGGGGGCUUACGUUUUCACACAAACUUUGUAUGCAGUGUAGAAUGUAUUUUUUGUUUUUGCGAUCACGCAAUCAAUACAACUUUCAACAACGGAUCUCUUGGUUCUC